GGGGAUAUAGUACAACCUGGCAGUACGGCCGGCUCCAGACCGGCUAAUUAGGGUUCAAAUCCCUAUGUCCCCA
RNAcentral lists this transfer RNA (73 nucleotides) under Nanobdellota archaeon. RNAcentral's name for it is "tRNA-Trp". It matches the Rfam family "tRNA". From Rfam's summary of the family: Transfer RNA (tRNA) molecules are approximately 80 nucleotides in length. Their secondary structure includes four short double-helical elements and three loops (D, anti-codon, and T loops). Further hydrogen bonds mediate the characteristic L-shaped molecular structure. tRNAs have two regions of fundamental functional importance: the anti-codon, which is responsible for specific mRNA codon recognition, and the 3' end, to which the tRNAs corresponding amino acid is attached (by aminoacyl-tRNA synthetases). tRNAs cope with the degeneracy of the genetic code in two manners: having more than one tRNA (with a specific anti-codon) for a particular amino acid; and 'wobble' base-pairing, i.e. permitting non-standard base-pairing at the 3rd anti-codon position. The record is from RNAcentral. Lineage: Archaea; Nanobdellati; Nanobdellota.